Molecule: ribosomal RNA, 883 nt
Filed under: uncultured bacterium
Lineage: Bacteria
Description: bacterial SSU rRNA
Rfam family: Bacterial small subunit ribosomal RNA
Source: RNAcentral
AGAGUUUGAUCAUGGCUCAGAUUGAACGCUGGCGGCAGCCCUUACACAUGCAAGUCGAGCGAGAAAGUUUCUUCGGAAACGAGUAAAGCGGCGGACGGGUGAGUAACGCGUAGGAAUCUACCAUUCAGUGGGGGAUAGCUCGGGGAAACCCGAAUUAAUACCGCAUAUACCCUAAGGGGGAAAGAGGGCCUAUCCUUGGAAGCUCUUGCUGUUUGAUGAGCCUGCGUGAGAUUAGUUUGUUGGUGAGGUAAUGGCUCACCAAGGCUACGAUCUCUAGCUGGUCUGAGAGGACGAUCAGCCACACUGGGACUGAGACACGGCCCAGACUCCUACGGGAGGCAGCAGUGGGGAAUAUUGGACAAUGGGGGCAACCCUGAUCCAGGCAUGCCGCGUGUGUGAAGAAGGCCUUCGGGUUGUAAAGCACUUUAGGUAAGGAAGAAAAGUUAUUGGUUAAUACCCAAUGACCAUGACAUUACUUACAGAAUAAGGACCGGCUAACUCCGUGCCAGCAGCCGCGGUAAUACGGAGGGUCCAAGCGUUAAUCGGAAUUACUGGGCGUAAAGCGCGCGUAGGCGGUUUGACAAGUUGGGUGUGAAAUCCCCGGGCUUAACCUGGGAACUGCAUUCAAAACUUUUAAACUGGAGUACGGGAGAGGAGAGUAGAAUUCAUGGUGUAGCGGUGAAAUGCGUAGAUAUCAUGAGGAAUACCAAUGGCGAAGGCAACUCUCUGGACCGUAACUGACGCUGAGGUGCGAAAGCGUGGGUAGCAAACAGGAUUAGAUACCCUGGUAGUCCACGCCGUAAACGAUGACAACUAGCCGUUGGACCUUCGGGUUCAGUGGCACAGCUAACGCAUUAAGUUGUCCGCCUGGGGAGUACGGCCG